ACAUCAAGGAGUUACGGCAAGAGUUUGUGCUUCGGAUCCAGGAGCAUGACACAGCUAAUGAGCUAUAUGAAUACAUAUUCAUUGAUGAGGUUGGAUUCAACCUGGUGAAGAGGAGGCGCCGGGGCAGAAAUGUCAUUGGCCAGCGCGCCAUUGUUGAGGUCCCCGGCCAGCGUGAUGGGAACAUCACUUUGUGUGCUGCAAUGGGUUGAGCAGGCCCGUUGACAGUACUGUACUGUUCAGAAAUAAAACUUUUUUUGCCGCAUAUGUGUGC
This is a long non-coding RNA of Osmerus eperlanus (European smelt), 271 nucleotides long. RefSeq lists it as uncharacterized. Lineage: Eukaryota; Metazoa; Chordata; Actinopteri; Osmeriformes; Osmeridae. The transcript is spliced from 2 exons. The record is from RefSeq and is a predicted model, not a curated record.